AUUGAACGCUGGCGGCGUGCCUAACACAUGCAAGUCGAGCGGUAACAGGUGUAGCAAUACAUGCUGACGAGCGGCGAACGGGUGAGUAAUGCUUUGGAAUCUUCCCAGUAGUGGGGAAUAACCAGUCGAAAGAUUGGCUAAUACCGCAUACGUCUGUAAAGGGAAAGCGGGGGACUCGCCUCUUCUUCGGAAGAGAGGCCUCGCGCUAUUGGAUGAGCCAAAGCGGAUUAGCUAGUUGGUGGGGUAAUGGCCUACCAAGGCGACAAUCCGUAGCUGGUCUGAGAGGACGACCAGCCACACCGGAACUGAGACACGGUCCGACUCCUACGGGAGGCAGCAGUGGGGAAUAUUGGACAAUGGGGAAACCCUGAUCCAGCGACGCCGCGUGUGUGAAGAAGGCCUGCGGGUUGUAAAGCACUUUUAGUGGGGACAAAAGCUACGGAUUAAUACUCUGUGGUCUUGAUUUAACCUACAGAAAAGCACCGGCUAACUCUGUGCCAGCA
RNAcentral lists this ribosomal RNA (503 nucleotides) under uncultured bacterium. RNAcentral describes it as "bacterial SSU rRNA". It matches the Rfam family "Bacterial small subunit ribosomal RNA", at positions 30 to 513 of the family's 1533-position model. The record is from RNAcentral.